UUAGGAAUCUUCCACAAUGGGCGAAAGCCUGAUGGAGGGACGCCGCGUGAGGGAUGAAGGCCUUAGGGUUGUAAACCUCUAAAAGAGGGACGAUAAUGACGGUACCUCUUGAAUAGCACCGGCUAACUCCGUGCCAGCAGCCGCGGUAAUACGGAGGGUGCAAGCGUUAUCCGGAAUCACUGGGCGUAAAGGGCGCGUAGGCGGUCUGUUAAGUCCGAUGUUAAAUCCCGGGGCUCAGCCCCGGAUAAGCGUUGGAUACUGGCAGGCUAGACGGUUGGAGAGGCGAGUGGAAUUACCAGUGUAGCGGUGGAAUGCGUAGAUACUGGUAGGAACUCCCAUUGCGAAGGCAGCUCGCUGGACAACACGUGACGCUGAGGCGCGAAAGUGUGGGGAGCAAACC
RNAcentral lists this ribosomal RNA (400 nucleotides) under uncultured bacterium. Its description in RNAcentral is "bacterial SSU rRNA". It matches the Rfam family "Bacterial small subunit ribosomal RNA", at positions 355 to 774 of the family's 1533-position model. The record is from RNAcentral.